CAGUCGCCGCGGUAAUACAGAGGGUGCGAGCGUUAAUCGGAUUUACUGGGCGUAAAGCGUGCGUAGGCGGCUAAUUGAGUCGGAUGUGAAAUCCCCGAGCUUAACUUGGGAAUUGCAUUCGAUACUGGUUAGCUAGAGUGUGGGAGAGGAUGGUAGAAUUCCAGGUGUAGCGGUGAAAUGCGUAGAGAUCUGGAGGAAUACCGAUGGCGAAGGCAGCCAUCUGGCCUAACACUGACGCUGAGGUACGAAAGCAUGGGGAGCAAACAGGAUUAGAUACCCGGGUAGUCCCUGUCUCUUAUAA
Molecule: ribosomal RNA, 301 nt
Filed under: uncultured bacterium
Lineage: Bacteria
Description: partial 16S ribosomal RNA
Rfam family: Bacterial small subunit ribosomal RNA
Source: RNAcentral